Molecule: RNA transcript, 3253 nt
Organism: Coffea arabica (coffee)
Lineage: Eukaryota; Viridiplantae; Streptophyta; Magnoliopsida; Gentianales; Rubiaceae
Gene name: general transcription and DNA repair factor IIH helicase subunit XPD
Source: RefSeq, a predicted model, not a curated record
UGAAAUGGGCCUAAGGGUCUAACAUAAGACUCAGGAUUUAAUGGAUCGCUCUUGUGUCAUUGGUUAGUUCUUUAGUCUUCCAGAAAUCCAGACUCCUACAGUCCUACUUAAGCUAAUUAGACCAAUACGACAGCGUUAAAACUCCUAUAUAAACCGCAAGGCUUGAACAGGCAGAAGGAAGGGGAAACGCCAUCUCCGAGACCGGCGAGUUUCUCUACGCCGUUCAGUCGUCGUCGUCGUCAGAGGCGAAAGCUUAAAAGCGUGAGAGUGACGCGAUUGAAAGAUGAAGUUCCAAAUAGAAGACGUGACGGUUUAUUUCCCCUACGACAACAUCUACCCGGAGCAAUAUGCAUACAUGGUGGAACUGAAGCGUGCCCUAGAUGCCAAGGGCCACUGCCUUCUAGAGAUGCCGACUGGCACCGGUAAAACCAUAGCCUUACUUUCCCUCAUCACCAGCUACGCACUUUCCAAGCCUUCCAAUCCGAUCAAGUUCAUCUACUGCACUCGCACAGUCCACGAAAUGGAGAAAACUUUAUCCGAGCUUAAGUUGCUCCACAAUUAUCAGUUACAACACCUAGGCCCGGCCGCCAAGAUCCUUGCCCUAGGUUUAUCUUCCAGAAAGAACUUGUGUAUUAAUCCUACUGUGGUUUCCGCUGAGAAUAGAGAUUCCGUCGAUGCGGCUUGUCGCAAACUUACUGCCAGUUGGGUUCGCGAGCUCGCUGCUGAAAACCCUAGGAUUCCGACUUGUUCCUUUUUUGAGAACUACGAGAAGUCUGCUUCUGAAGCCAUUCUGCCUCCGGGGGUUUAUACCCUGCAGGAUCUUAGAGCCUACGGGAAGUUGAAAGGAUGGUGCCCAUACUUUUUAGCGCGGCACAUGGUGCAACUUGCAAAUGUGGUGGUUUAUAGCUACCAAUAUUUGCUUGAUCCUAAGGUUGCAGGCAUUAUAUCCAAAGAGAUGCAGAGAGAAUCUGUCGUGGUGUUUGACGAGGCCCACAAUAUUGAUAAUGUAUGUAUUGAGGCUUUGAGUGUCAGUGUGAGGAUGCAGACACUCGAAGGGGCUACUAGGAAUAUCAAUAGGAUGUCUCAGGAGAUAGACAGGUUUAAGGCCACUGAUGCUGGUCGACUUCGUGCCGAGUAUAACCGACUUGUUGAAGGUUUGGCUCUAAGGGGAGAUCUGCCAGCUUCAGAUGCCUGGCUAGCAAACCCUGCCUUGCCUAAUGAUAUUCUAAAGGAAGCAGUUCCUGGGAAUAUAAGGCGGGCAGAGCAUUUCUUGUCUGUUCUCCGGAGAUUAGUUCAGUAUAUUAGAGGACGCUUGCAGACUGAAAAUGUUGAAAAGGAGGGGCCUGUUGCCUUUGUUGCUUCUGUUAACACUCAAGCUGGAAUUGACCAGAAAAUGUUGAGAUUUUGUUAUGACAGGCUUCACUCAUUGAUGCUAACUCUGGAGAUAUCCGACACAGAUGAAUUCUUGCACAUACAAACUAUUUGUGACUUUGCGACACUUGUGGGAACAUAUACUCGAGGAUUUUCAAUUAUAAUUGAACCUUUUGAUGAGAGGAUGCCACAUAUUCCUGACCCAGUGCUGCAGCUAUGCUGUCAUGAUGCUUCUCUUGCCAUAAAGCCUGUUUUUGAACGAUUUCAAUCAGUUGUUAUAACUUCUGGGACUCUCAGCCCAAUUGAUCUUUACCCACGUCUUCUAAAUUUUAACCCAGUUGUUAGUCGAAGCUUCACAAUGUCCUUGACUAGGGAUUGCAUAUGCCCUAUGGUCCUCACACGGGGAAGUGAUCAGCUUCCUGUAAGUACGAAGUAUGAUCUGAGAAGUGAUCCUGGUGUUGAAAAAAACUAUGGAAAGCUUUUACUGGAAAUGGUAUCUGUUGUUCCGGAUGGAAUUGUUUGUUUCUUUGUCAGCUACUCUUACAUGGAUGGGAUAGUCAAUAGUUGGCAUGAAACAGGUCUUCUGAAGGAAAUAAUGCAACAUAAACUGGUUUUCAUCGAGACUCAAGAUGUUGUUGAAACCACAUUGGCUUUGGACAACUAUCGCAAAGCUUGCGAUUGUGGAAGAGGAGCUGUCUUUUUCUCAGUUGCGAGGGGCAAAGUUGCAGAAGGUAUUGAUUUUGAUAGGCAUUAUGGUAGGCUUGUCAUCAUGUUCGGCGUUCCUUUCCAGUACACAUUAAGCAGAAUAUUGCUUGCAAGAUUGGAGUACUUGCGGGAUACUUUCCAGAUUAAGGAGGGCGAUUUUCUGACUUUUGAUGCUUUGAGACAAGCUGCUCAAUGCGUUGGGCGAGUUAUCCGUUCAAAGGCAGAUUAUGGGAUGAUGAUAUUUGCUGACAAGAGGUUUGUAGUUUUCAGUUUUAUAAUUAAUGAACAAGAAACUGAUUAAACAACAAAAGGUCUGUUGUUGGUGGUGUCGAAAGUUGCAUUUGAUAGGAACUGAAAAGGAAGAUAGACUAUUACCAUCUCUACAUGCUACAUGUAUGUUUUGGCAUCAACAAGGAAUCAACGGUAUGGAAGUCUAAGCUUGGUACAACCUGUUAGUUGCAGCAUGGAACUGUGGAUUUGGGUGGUGCCUACAAAAGGUAGCCAAACUGCUUGGCCUUGUAUUUUGAGCUUGCUAGGUCAUACUACAAGAAGACCUCCUUCAGAAAUCAUACAUGAACAGUUAGAUUGGUUUCUGUUGAUUGUGGUGACUGUUGCCUUCUGCUUACAGCUUCACAUUUAUGAAAUUAAUUGAUCCUAUCUUCUGUUUUGUAUUCAGGUAUAGCCGUCAUGACAAGCGCUCUAAGUUACCUGGUUGGAUUUUGUCACAUUUACGUGAUGCACAUCUUAACUUGAGUACCGACAUGGCUGCGCAUAUAGCAAGAGAGUUCUUAAGGAAAAUGGCUCAGCCAUAUGAUAAAACUGGUGUCAUGGGCAAGAAAACCCUUUUGUCAGAGGCAGACUUGGAGAAGAUGGGGAAUUCCAACCUUGGGGAAAUGUUCUGAAGAUUUUGGGUUAAGCUAAGCUGCAGUCUUGUUGGAUGCCUGUGAAUUCACCAAUUUUGUCGUAAAUUUUGACCUUUUUUUUUUUGGCUGUUGUUGCUACAGAUUGUACACUGGUUGAACCAGAAACUGAUCUAGAAGGAAAAAUCUGGAAAUAUGACAGGAGGGUUUUUUUUUUGGGGGGGGGGGGGGGGUGCGAAUUAGAGAAUUUUGCUUUUUUUGAGCGUUUUUCCUUUUGGAUUUGUCUAUUUACAGAAGAAUUUUGGGAUUUUGUUGGA